Nothobranchius furzeri (turquoise killifish) is the source of this 1529-nucleotide long non-coding RNA. RefSeq lists it as uncharacterized. Lineage: Eukaryota; Metazoa; Chordata; Actinopteri; Cyprinodontiformes; Nothobranchiidae. The record is from RefSeq and is a predicted model, not a curated record.
UUUCAGAUCAAGCAGCAGGCAUCGCUGAUGCUUUAAAGAAUAUUGCUGCAAUCACAGAUAUCUGCAAGUCACUGCUGAUCAAAGUGAACAUGAUGGAGGGGAAAAUGCACGCCAUGGAGAAGCUGCUCCAUAAUGUGGCUUCUCAGCAUUCUGAGAGCCAAACUCAAGAUGAUCUGCGCCUGUAGCCUUGUAAAGAUGCGGAGGACUUUACCUUGCUUGAAAAUAACUUGCAGGACAAGGCAUAUUUCCAGCAAGCUGUCCGUUUUCUAAGCCUCAUUGGAGGACGGAAGCUGGGAGAAAAUACAAGAAGGACCAUGCUGGCUGUCGCCAGCAAUGCUGUUUGGUGUGGAUACAGACUGUAUGGAAGAAGCAGAAAGCCAAGCUGUGUAACCUUAAAAUAUUUAGGCUGAUCAAAUGUGCUGUGAAGACCUCGCUUCCAGACUCCACAGAUAAGGACAUAGAGGUGCAAAUAAUGGAAGUCCUUAAGCAUGCUCCCCAGAAAGUCAGAAGAGAGGCUGAAGCACAGCAUCGUGCCACACAAAUGGAGGCCCAUUCUUCUGAGGAGGACUAAGUGAACCUGCACCCUUUCUGUUUUAUUUUUCUCUGUUUUGCUCACAAUUUUUGAUUUUUCUAUUUAUAUAUAUAUAUAUUUUUGAUCAUUUUUUUAAGCGCCUUGUGAUUUUUAUUUUGAGAGGCGCUAUAAAAAUGUUUUGUUUAAAUUGUGUAUGCAAAUGCCAAAUCUUUAUGUAAUAAAAAGCUGAAAAGUCAGUUUAUUGUCCAUCCUGUGAAAUUACACCUGAUCCUGCUGCUUACUAUUCAAUUCAAUUCAAAAAUACUUUAUUAAUCCCAGAGGGAAAUUGAUUGCUGUAGUAGCUCAGAAUAAUAAUAAUCAAGUCAUCAAAGAGUUGUUGUAUAUUACAAUGGCUGUUGGCAGGAAGGAUCCUCAAGUCUUGUGAAGAGAAUGCUCAGGGUUGUCCAUAAUUGUCUUGAUUCUCUGGAGAAUCCUUUGCAUUAACUCCUCCAGUGGUUCCGAAAUGAAAACAUGCAGUAGAGCUUUUAAAUGAAUUCAAGACACCGCUGUCCUAUAUUACUUGUUUUUAAGGUUUUUAUACAUUUGUUUUUCCAUUCUGGUUGUUUUUGCUGUUAAUCUGCCAUUUGUUUAGCAAUAUAAUUUCCUGUGGUAAAUAAUGAAUAAAGGUGAAAAAAAAAGUUAACCUGAAAACGUCUCUGCAAUGUGCCACAAACAUUUAGUUGGUACGUUGUCACAACGUUAUAAUAGCGAUGUUGUCACAACAUUGCAGUAAAGUUGUGGAUAUGUCGCGAUAACGUUCCAACAACGUCCUAUGUGACGUUCUGACAACGUUGUAGCGGAAUUUCACUUUGGAAGUCGCUACUACGUAACAUGCGACGUUCCUGCAACAUCACAAGGUGUCAGAAAAUACGUUGCGACUACGUUGUUGCAACGGACCUGUGUUAGUAGGGAGGAGAGCAUCUUUACUUCCAAGAACAUGUGCAAACCUUGUCUUGAC